This 120-nucleotide ribosomal RNA is filed under the name Bison bison bison. The record is from RNAcentral. Lineage: Eukaryota; Metazoa; Chordata; Mammalia; Artiodactyla; Bovidae.
GUCUCAGGCCGUAUCAGCCUGAAGGCGCCCGAUCUCGUCUGAUCUCGGAAGCUAAGCAGGGUCGGGCCUGGUUAGGAUCUUGGAUGGAAGACCACCUGGGAAUCCCGGGUGCUCGAGGCU